RNAcentral lists this ribosomal RNA (468 nucleotides) under uncultured bacterium. RNAcentral describes it as "partial 16S ribosomal RNA". It matches the Rfam family "Bacterial small subunit ribosomal RNA", at positions 28 to 507 of the family's 1533-position model. The record is from RNAcentral.
GACGAACGCUGGCGGCGUGCUUAACACAUGCAAGUCGAACGGAAAGGCCCUGCUUUUGUGGGGUGCUCGAGUGGCGAACGGGUGAGUAACACGUGAGUAACCUGCCCUUGACUUUUGGAUAACUUCAGGAAACUGGGGCUAAUACCGGAUAGGAGCUCCUGCUGCAUGGUGGGGGUUGGAAAGUUUCGGCGGUUGGGGAUGGACUCGCGGCUUAUCAGCUUGUUGGUGGGGUAGUGGCUUACCAAGGCUUUGACGGGUAGCCGGCCUGAGAGGGUGACCGGCCACAUUGGGACUGAGAUACGGCCCAGACUCCUACGGGAGGCAGGAGGGGGGAAUAUUGCACAAUGGGCGGAAGCCUGAUGGAGCAACGCCGCGUGCGGGAUGACGGCCUUCGGGUUGUAAACCGCUUUCGCCUGGGAAGAAGCGUGAGGGACGGUAAUGGGUAAAGAAGCACCGGCUAACUACGUG